UUUAGGGCUCAAGUGGGUUCCACUUUUCCCAAGUCAGCAAGUUAUGUCUAUAUUUGCCUUUCAUUCAUCUUGGCAUCACAUUAGCAUGGGAAUACAAAGCAAAUCCAUUGGAUACGAUUGAAAGAAAUUAUAAUCUUGUGAACUAAAUUGAAAAAAUUAAAAGUCUAGGAUAAUUUUUUUUUAACAAAAAAAGGUGUAAAAGCUUCAAGAUCUUUUGAUGAUUACCUAUGCAUAACAACAUCCUCAAUGGAGUGAUAUGAUUUAUAUAUGUGUUAUGAAUGUCCAUCCAUUUGGCUAUCUAAGUAUCUAUACAAACAUACAUGCCUUGCAUGUACUGUAUCAAGUUUAUUAUUCUCUGAGGCACUAGGCAUGGUUAUAUCAUAUAUGAUGCAUGAAAUAAAUAUGAUUAUUAUUCCUUUUAUAUAAAAGAUGAAUAUAAGAAUUCAUUGUAUGGCUCUUAGAGGAUAAUGAAAUCAAUAAAAUUGAAGGAGAAUCCAUAAUCCAAAUGAACAAAUUUGGACUUGAAAAGAAUCAUCUUGAUAGAUGAUUCUUGAAGAAUGAUGGACAAAGGGCUCAAUCCAGAAUGAUUUUUUGGCAUUUUUAUGUGCCAUUUAAGCACCAUUUUGAUUAUUCUGACCACGGCAAUAAAUGGUGGUUUCUCUAGUCUAUAACUCUAAGACAAGUACAAGUUGAAGAAGCAAUUAUUUUCACACAAUAGAAUGCAUAAUGUUGACCUGAUGUGGCUUUUUAUAUCUAGAUCUUAAGUUUGGUUGAUUGCAAUGAAUUGGAUUGCAAAAUCUAAGGUUUAAGCAUAAGUUGCAUG
This 823-nucleotide unclassified non-coding RNA is filed under the name Hevea brasiliensis (rubber tree). The record is from RNAcentral. Lineage: Eukaryota; Viridiplantae; Streptophyta; Magnoliopsida; Malpighiales; Euphorbiaceae.